CAGCUGUUCAGUUUCCAUGGCCUGGCUGUGCCCGGAGCCAGCCCUGUGUGUGGCUUCCUCAUCCCUUUGCUGGCUCCAUGAGGGUGAGGGCAGGAGCUUUGCCGUUCAGAGAUGACAACCAUGCCCACCCUGGCCUAUGCGGGAGUCUGCUGGAGACUGUGGGCUGAAAAAUCCACUCAGCCACUGGAAACACCAGAGCACCUCAUGAACAUUUACAGCAGCACAUCCAAGCAUGAAAGCAAAGAGCACAAGAAGCAGAAGCCUUGGCAAACUGAGGACACCCAGCCUGGGAGAGAGAGAAAAUUUCACAGUUUGAAAACCCAGAGCCAACAGAAAAUUAGGAGUAAGGCAAAGGGCAGGGGCAAUGAAAGAGCUCCUGUAUUCUUCUGGGAGCCUCCCUCCUUUCCUUGCCCGUCUCUUUACUGCUGCUGAACUGCGCUCGCAGUUGCUGCCAAAGGACCAGGACACAGCUUGGUCACAAAGGUGGAGAAAACCCCC
This 498-nucleotide long non-coding RNA is filed under the name Parus major (Great Tit). Its description in RNAcentral is "lncRNA (ENSPMJG00000016740.1)". Lineage: Eukaryota; Metazoa; Chordata; Aves; Passeriformes; Paridae. The record is from RNAcentral.